RNAcentral lists this ribosomal RNA (640 nucleotides) under Pseudomonas sp. GATS. RNAcentral's name for it is "bacterial SSU rRNA". It matches the Rfam family "Bacterial small subunit ribosomal RNA", at positions 42 to 672 of the family's 1533-position model. The record is from RNAcentral. Lineage: Bacteria; Pseudomonadati; Pseudomonadota; Gammaproteobacteria; Pseudomonadales; Pseudomonadaceae.
GUAGUACAUACGCCUACCAUGCAAGUCGAGCGGAUGAAGGGAGCUUGCUCCUGGAUUCAGCGGCGGACGGGUGAGUAAUGCCUAGGAAUCUGCCUGGUAGUGGGGGAUAACGUCCGGAAACGGGCGCUAAUACCGCAUACGUCCUGAGGGAGAAAGUGGGGGAUCUUCGGACCUCACGCUAUCAGAUGAGCCUAGGUCGGAUUAGCUAGUUGGUGGGGUAAAGGCCUACCAAGGCGACGAUCCGUAACUGGUCUGAGAGGAUGAUCAGUCACACUGGAACUGAGACACGGUCCAGACUCCUACGGGAGGCAGCAGUGGGGAAUAUUGGACAAUGGGCGAAAGCCUGAUCCAGCCAUGCCGCGUGUGUGAAGAAGGUCUUCGGAUUGUAAAGCACUUUAAGUUGGGAGGAAGGGCAGUAAGUUAAUACCUUGCUGUUUUGACGUUACCAACAGAAUAAGCACCGGCUAACUUCGUGCCAGCAGCCGCGGUAAUACGAAGGGUGCAAGCGUUAAUCGGAAUUACUGGGCGUAAAGCGCGCGUAGGUGGUUCAGCAAGUUGGAUGUGAAAUCCCCGGGCUCAACCUGGGAACUGCAUCCAAAACUACUGAGCUAGAGUACGGUAGAGGGUGGUGGAAUUUCCU